This 100-nucleotide microRNA precursor is filed under the name Podarcis lilfordi (Lilford's wall lizard). Lineage: Eukaryota; Metazoa; Chordata; Lepidosauria; Squamata; Lacertidae. The record is from RNAcentral.
UACACCCACAUAUACUGUAUACACACACACAUAUAUAUACAUAUAUGUAUUAUAUAUUGCAAUAUAUGUGUGUGGGUGUAUGUGUAUGUGUGGGUGUGUA